GAUGUGAACUUCAAAAGAAAAUGGACAAAAUUCCAAAAUUUCUAUCUUCAUAAUCAAAAAAUUAACUGAUAAUUCAAAUUUGAACCGAUUAUUGCUCAUUCGCCUAUCAAGCACUGUAACGACCCACUCCUGCCUUGUAACCUCCAUGGACUUCCAGUGGGUCACUCAUCCCAACAUUGCUGCAAGGCGAGCAAGCACUGUGAAGUUCCAAUGAGCUUUGACACCCUCACGGCUUUAGAAGAGCUUGUACAAGAUAGGGCAUGAUCGAUUAUAAAUCACUCAACUUUGCUUUCACCAGGCGAUGUGGGACCCGUGAUCACCCAUCCAUACGUCUACUACCGGGACUAAAGCCCGGUCCCAGCCUGGUUAUGGGCGUCACAAUCUAAGAACGAAGAAUCGACACAAAAGCACACAACGCGACUUCAAAGAAAACGGAUUAAAAAAAAUAAAA
Long non-coding RNA from Rhododendron vialii, 451 nucleotides. RefSeq lists it as uncharacterized. NCBI's taxonomy places the organism in Eukaryota, Viridiplantae, Streptophyta, Magnoliopsida, Ericales, Ericaceae. The transcript has 2 exons. The record is from RefSeq and is a predicted model, not a curated record.